Diceros bicornis minor is the source of this 742-nucleotide long non-coding RNA. RefSeq lists it as uncharacterized. Lineage: Eukaryota; Metazoa; Chordata; Mammalia; Perissodactyla; Rhinocerotidae. The record is from RefSeq and is a predicted model, not a curated record. The transcript has 3 exons.
CAUCAUGGGUGUGCCGGGCACCUCCUCGGGGCAACCUUGUGGGGCCUCUGCCAUCCCUUUGAAACAACAGUCUCAAAACAAGAAGUUCAAAGUGACUGUGUUUGUUCUGCAGGAUGUUUGGCUGCGUCUGAUGGUCUUCCAGAAGGGGCUGUAUGUAUGCGGUUUGGCAAAGAUUAAAAUGACUCUCUUCAUAAUGCACUUGGGGACAGGAGUCUGGAUGGGAGAGUUCCGGAUCAAAGGUAAUCAGAUUUCCUGGCAUAUGUGAGAUCUCCUGUAACCAUGUCUAAAUAUGUGGGGCGGUGGAAACAGCCUGGAGGCGUGAGAGUCACAAGAAGCUUGUCACCACCUGGGCACCACGUUCCAGACUCUACAGCAGUUUCCCCGGCCUGGAGCUCAUGCAUCAGGACUUGGGGCCACGAGAUAGUUCUAUUUUGUUUUUAAAAUCACACCAAAAUGCUGAAGCAAAGACAUAAGGUCCACAAAGCUACCAUUGCUAAUCUCCUAUGUGUCUUCGCAUUUUAAAAACAGCUCCCCAAAUAAAACAUAAAUAGCAGCCAGGAGAGCCCAACUUGAAACGUCCUCGUCUGUCCCGUGGAUUCAGCCCCCAGGCUUUAACUGGUAGCUCCCUGAUGUUUUGCAAGUGACGGGAGCCCUCCAGGCCCGGCAGUCAGCAGCCUGCAGGGUCCCUGCCAUUUCUGUGUAUUCCACAAAGAACGUUCUGAAACUGCCCUGCGACCAAAGA